GCCGGAAUAGCUCAGUUGGCAGAGCAGAGGACU
RNAcentral lists this transfer RNA (33 nucleotides) under Jungermannia atrovirens. RNAcentral describes it as "partial tRNA-Phe". Lineage: Eukaryota; Viridiplantae; Streptophyta; Jungermanniopsida; Jungermanniales; Jungermanniaceae. The record is from RNAcentral.